RNAcentral lists this ribosomal RNA (274 nucleotides) under uncultured bacterium. Its description in RNAcentral is "partial 16S ribosomal RNA". It matches the Rfam family "Bacterial small subunit ribosomal RNA", at positions 523 to 796 of the family's 1533-position model. The record is from RNAcentral.
AUACGGAGGGAGCAAGCGUUAUUCGGAAUCACUGGGCGUAAAGGACGCGUAGGCGGGUUUGUAAGUCAGGUGUGAAAUCCUACAGCUCAACUGUAGAACUGCACUUGAAACUACAGACCUAGAGUAUGGAAGGGGCAGAUGGAAUUAGUGGUGUAGGGGUAAAAUCCGUAGAUAUCACUAGGAAUACCGAAAGCGAAGGCGAUCUGCUGGGACAUUACUGACGCUGAGGCGUGAAAGCGCGGGGAGCAAACAGGAUUAGAAACCCGAGUAGUCC